This 802-nucleotide ribosomal RNA is filed under the name uncultured bacterium. RNAcentral describes it as "bacterial SSU rRNA". It matches the Rfam family "Bacterial small subunit ribosomal RNA", at positions 8 to 796 of the family's 1533-position model. The record is from RNAcentral.
AGAGUUUGAUCAUGGCUCAGGACGAACGCUGGCGGCGUGCUUAACACAUGCAAGUCGAGCGAGAAAGCACCUUCGGGUGUGAGUACAGCGGCGAACGGGUGAGUAACACGUGGGCAACCUGCCCUAGAGACUGGGAUAACGUCCCGAAAGGGACGCUAAUACCGGAUGAUGCGCGAUCUGCCAAGUAGGUCGCGCCAAAUGGUAGCUUCGGCUUCUGCUCUGGGAUAGGCCCGCGCCGGAUUAGCUUGUUGGUGGGGUAACGGCCUACCAAGGCGACGAUCCGUAGCUGGUCUGAGAGGACGAUCAGCCACACUGGGACUGAGACACGGCCCAGACUCCUACGGGAGGCAGCAGUGGGGAAUCUUGCGCAAUGGGCGAAAGCCUGACGCAGCAACGCCGCGUGAGCGAAGACGGCCUUCGGGUUGUAAAGCUCUGUCAGGAGGGACGAAGCCACUCAGGUGAAUAGCCGAGAGGGUGACGGUACCUCCAGAGGAAGCCCCGGCUAACUACGUGCCAGCAGCCGCGGUAAUACGUAGGGGGCAAGCGUUGUCCGGAAUCAUUGGGCGUAAAGCGCGUGUAGGCGGCCAUCCAAGUCCGAUGUGAAAGCUCGGGGCUCAACCCCGAGUCUGCAUUGGAAACUGUAUGGCUUGAGUCCGGAAGAGGAGACUGGAAUUCCUGGUGUAGCGGUGAAAUGCGCAGAUAUCAGGAAGAACACCGGUGGCGAAGGCGGGUCUCUGGGACGGUACUGACGCUGANNNNCGAAAGCGUGGGGAGCAAACAGGAUUAGAUACCCUAGUAGUCC